GGACCCGCACAAGCGGUGGAUGAUGUGGAUUAAUUCGAUGCAACGCGAAAAAACCUUACCUACCCUUGACAUGUCAGGAAUUUUGCAGAGAUGCGAAAGUGCUCGAAAGAGAACCUGAACACAGGUGCUGCAUGGCUGUCGUCAGCUCGUGUCGUGAGAUGUUGGGUUAAGUCCCGCAACGAGCGCAACCCUUGUCAUUAGUUGCUACGCAAGGGCACUCUAAUGAGACUGCCGGUGACAAACCGGAGGAAGGUGGGGGACGACGGUCAAGUCCUCAUGGCCUUAUGGGUAGGGCUUCACACGUCAUACAAUGGUUGGUACAGAGGGUUGCAAACCCGCGAGGGG
This 345-nucleotide ribosomal RNA is filed under the name uncultured bacterium. RNAcentral describes it as "bacterial SSU rRNA". It matches the Rfam family "Bacterial small subunit ribosomal RNA", at positions 917 to 1264 of the family's 1533-position model. The record is from RNAcentral.